RNAcentral lists this ribosomal RNA (2986 nucleotides) under candidate division WWE3 bacterium CG_4_10_14_0_2_um_filter_41_14. RNAcentral describes it as "bacterial LSU rRNA". It matches the Rfam family "Bacterial large subunit ribosomal RNA". Lineage: Bacteria; candidate division WWE3. The record is from RNAcentral.
AAAAGACACGUAAGGGCGUACAGUGGAUGCCUUGGCGCAAUGUACCGAUGAAGGACGUGGUAGCCUGCGAAAUGCUUCGGGGAGCUGGCAAACGAGCUUUGAUCCGAAGAUGUCCGAAUGGGAAAACCCACACAAGUGAACCUUGUGUACUUUAUCGUAAAAGCUAAACAUUCGUGUUUAGCCAUAGCGGUAAAGAGGAGACCCAGUGAACUGAACCAUCUUAGUAACUGGAGGAAAAGAAAACAAUUGUUAAGUUGCUGAGAGGCAACUUGAUACUAUUCCCUGAGUAGCGGUGAGCGAAACGGGAACAGCCCGCAACUGAAAAAUUGACAUACUGUUAGCUGAAUUACCUGGAACCGGUAAGCCAUAGUGAGCAAACGCCUCGUAAGCGAAAAUGGUAUGUGAUUGUUGCUGCAAGUUUCUUCGGAAACUUGUUAUGAGUAGCAUCGAACACGUGAAAUUCGGUGUGAAGUAAAUGUGCUUGCACAUUUUAAGGGGGACCUCCCCCUAAGGCUAAAUAUAUAUUGCGACCGAUAGUGAACAAGUACCGCAAGGGAAAGGUGAAAAGUACCCCGUUGAGGGGAGUGAAAUAGUCCCUGAAACUGUACGUCUACAAGCAGAGGGCGUCUUAAUACGUUUACGUAUUGGGACCACCUCGUGUCUUUUGGAGCAUAAGCCGGCGAGCAACUCGUUGCCUGCAAGCCUAAGCCAUUCAGUGGCGGAGGCGUAGGGAAACCGAAUGUUGUUUAAUUGCGACGGGGUCUUAAUAGGGCCCUUAGUAGGUAACGGUUGGCCCGAAACCGAGUGAGCUAUCCAUGGUCAGGGUGAAGGGAAGGUAAAACUUCCUGGAGGCCCGAACCAGUGUCUGUUGAAAAAGGCUUGGAUGAACUGUGGAUAGAGGUAAAAUGCCAAACGGACUCGGAAAUAGCUGGUUCUCCUCGAAAUGGCUUUAAGGCCAGCGUUUUUUGAUGCUAUGGUUGGGGUAGAGCUACUGGAUGGAUGUUGGUGGGUAACCGCUUGCUUCCAACCAAACUCCGAAUACAACUAUAGUUAGAAAGACAAGUUAGUAUACGAGGGCUAAGCUUCGUAUACGAAAGGGAAACAACCCAGAUCGUACGUUAAGGUCCCUAAGUUUUAUCUUAGUGGGAAAGGAAGUCAUAUUACUUAGACAACCAGGAGGUUGGCUUAGAAGCAGCCACCCUUUAAAAAGUGCGUAACAGCUUACUGGUCAACUAUGUGGUGUGGCGCCGAAAAUAUAACGGGGCUCAAGAUAAGCACCGAAACGACGAAUUGUGAGAAUAUUUAUAUUCUUGCAGUGGUAGGGGAGCGUUCUAUAUGCGCUGAAGCUCUUCGCGUGAGCGGGGGUGGAGCGUAUAGAAGUGAGAAUGCCGGCAUGAGUAACGCAAAUCAGUCGAGAUUACUGGUCACCGAAUACCCAAGGUUUCCGCAGCACUGCACAUCAGCUGCGGGUUAGACGGGCCUAAGGCGAGGCCGUAAAAGGCGUAGUCGAUGGACAAACGGUUAAUAUUCCGUUUCUUCUUAAUAACUAUCCGCAUACUGACGAAGAACCUAGUUCUUCCUAGAAAAGGUAUGAGAACAACUAUGUUAAGAAUCCGUACCGUAAACCGACACAGGUGGGUGAGGAGAGUAUCCUCAGGUGAUCGAGAUAACCUUCGCUAAGGAACUCGGCAAAUUGCUGUCGUAACUUAGGGAUAAGGCAGACCGUCCAAACUUUUCUUCGGAAAAGGUUGUGGCGGUGACACAAACCAGGCUCAAACGACUGUUUAACAAAAACACAGCUCCCUGCUAACUCGAAAGAGGAUGUAUAGGGGGUGACGCCUGCCCAAUGCUGGAAGGUUAAGGAAGCUUGUACGUAGUUUACUUUGUAAACUACAAGCUUGCGACUGAAGCCCCAGUGAAUGGCAGCAGUAACUAUAACUGUUCUAAGGUACCGAAAUUCCUUGUCGGGUAAUUUCCGACCUGCAGGAAAGGCGUAACGAGUUGAGCACUGUCUUCAGCGAAGGGCUCGGUGAAAUUGCAAUGGCCGUGAAGAUGCGGUCUACCUACACCAGGACAAAAAGACCCCGUGGAGCUUUACUAUAGCUUGGCAUUGAUUUAGGAGUAUUUCUGUGUAGCGUAGCGAGGAGACUUUGAAGCAGGGCCGUCAGGUUUUGUGGAGUCGCAAGUGAAACACUCGCCUGGAAUGUUUUUAAAUCUAACUUUAAGCCGUGAUCCGGCUUGAGGACAGUGUCUGGUAGGUAGUUUGUCUGGGGCGGAUGCCUGGCAAAUUCUAACCCAGGUGCCCAAAGGUUCCCUUAGUCCGGAUGGAAAUCGGACCACAAGUGUAAAGGCAAAAGGGAGCUUGACUGCAAGGCUGACAAGCCGAGCAGCAGCGAAAGCUGGGCUUAAUGAUCCUGCCUAUCUUAGAGGUAAGGAGGCAGCUUAUCGGAUAAAAGUUACCCCGGGGAUAACAGAGUGGUCGCGCCCAAUAGCCCGUAUUGCCGGCGCGGUUCGCUACCUCGAUGUCGGCUCAUCACAUCCUGGGGCUGUAGCCGGUCCCAAGGGUUGGUCUGUUCGCCCAUUAAAGUGGUACGUGAGCUGGGUUCAAACCGUCGUGAGACAGGUUGGUCUCUAUCCGGUGUAGGCGUGUAAUGAUUUGAGGGGAGAUUCCGCUAGUACGAGAGGACCGUGGAGUGCGAACCUCUGGUGUACCAGUUGUCUUCGUCCUUUGGACUCGACAACUUUGUGAGUUUUUCGUUAGAAAAACUCAAUACAAGGUUGCCGGUUCCAAGGGAUUAGGGCAUCGCUGGGUAGCUAUGUUCGUUUCGGAUAAGCGCUGAAAGCAUAUAAGCGCGAAGCCAACCCCGAGAUUAAAUCAAGUAGUUUGUUUACAAACUACGCGGUUUCCUAGGAGAAUACUAGGUUGAUAGGUCAUAGGUGUAAGUGUAGCAAUACAUUCAGCCAAGUGAUACUAAUAAACCGUCAG